UAUUGGGCGUAAGGGCUCGCAGGCGGUUUCUUAAGUCUGAUGUGAAAGCCCCCGGCUCAACCGGGGAGGGUCAUUGGAAACUGGGGAACUUGAGUGCAGAAGAGGAGAGUGGAAUUCCACGUGUAGCGGUGAAAUGCGUAGAGAUGUGGAGGAACACCAGUGGCGAAGGCGACUCUCUGGUCUGUAACUGACGCUGAGGAGCGAAAGCGUGGGGAGCGAACAGGAUUAGAUACCCUGGUAGUCCACGCCGUAAACGAUGAGUGCUAAGUGUUAGGGGGUUUCCGCCCCUUAGUGCUGCAGCUAACGCAUUAAGCACUCCGCCUGGGGAGUACGGUCGCAAGACUGAAACUCAAAGGAAUUGACGGGGGCCCGCACAAGCGGUGGAGCAUGUGGUUUAAUUCGAAGCAACGCGAAGAACCUUACCAGGUCUUGACAUCCUCUGACAAUCCUAGAGAUAGGACGUCCCCUUCGGGGGCAGAGUGACAGGUGGUGCAUGGUUGUCGUCAGCUCGUGUCGUGAGAUGUUGGGUUAAGUCCCGCAACGAGCGCAACCCUUGAUCUUAGUUGCCAGCAUUCAGUUGGGCACUCUAAGGUGACUGCCGGUGACAAACCGGAGGAAGGUGGGGAUGACGUCAAAUCAUCAUGCCCCUUAUGACCUGGGCUACACACGUGCUACAAUGGACAGAACAAAGGGCAGCGAAACCGCGAGGUUAAGCCAAUCCCACAAAUCUGUUCU
Molecule: ribosomal RNA, 735 nt
Filed under: Bacillus subtilis
Lineage: Bacteria; Bacillati; Bacillota; Bacilli; Caryophanales; Bacillaceae
Description: bacterial SSU rRNA
Rfam family: Bacterial small subunit ribosomal RNA
Source: RNAcentral